GCCUCGGUGGUGAAAUUGGUAGACACAAGGGACUUAAAAUCCCUCGCCUUUACCGGCGUGCCGGUUCGACCCCGGCCCGAGGCACCA
This 87-nucleotide transfer RNA is filed under the name Methylococcaceae bacterium. RNAcentral describes it as "tRNA-Leu". It matches the Rfam family "tRNA". From Rfam's summary of the family: Transfer RNA (tRNA) molecules are approximately 80 nucleotides in length. Lineage: Bacteria; Pseudomonadati; Pseudomonadota; Gammaproteobacteria; Methylococcales; Methylococcaceae. RNAcentral also lists the same sequence under 1 other name. The record is from RNAcentral.